GACGAACGCUGGCGGCGUGCCUAAUACAUGCAAGUAGAACGCUGAAGGAGGAGCUUGCUUCUCUGGAUGAGUUGCGAACGGGUGAGUAACGCGUAGGUAACCUGCCUGGUAGCGGGGGAUAACUAUUGGAAACGAUAGCUAAUACCGCAUAAUAGUAGAUGUUGCAUGACAUUUGCUUAAAAGGUGCAAUUGCAUCACUACCAGAUGGACCUGCGUUGUAUUAGCUAGUUGGUGGGGUAACGGCUCACCAAGGCGACGAUACAUAGCCGACCUGAGAGGGUGAUCGGCCACACUGGGACUGAGACACGGCCCAGACUCCUACGGGAGGCAGCAGUAGCGAAUCCUCAGCAAUGGACGGAAGGCUGACCGAGCAACGCCGCGUGAGAGAAGAAGGUUGUCGGAUCGUGAAGGUCAGUUGUAAGAGAAGAACGAGAGUGAGAGUGGAAAGUUCACAUUGUGACGGUAUCUGACCAGAAAGGGACGGCUAACUACGUG
RNAcentral lists this ribosomal RNA (495 nucleotides) under uncultured bacterium. RNAcentral describes it as "partial 16S ribosomal RNA". It matches the Rfam family "Bacterial small subunit ribosomal RNA", at positions 28 to 507 of the family's 1533-position model. The record is from RNAcentral.